RNAcentral lists this ribosomal RNA (497 nucleotides) under uncultured bacterium. RNAcentral describes it as "partial 16S ribosomal RNA". It matches the Rfam family "Bacterial small subunit ribosomal RNA", at positions 28 to 507 of the family's 1533-position model. The record is from RNAcentral.
GACGAACGUUGGCGGCGUGCCUAAUACAUGCAAGUUGAGCGCUGAAGGUUGGUACUUGUACCGACUGGAUGAGCAGCGAACGGGUGAGUAACGCGUGGGGAAUCUGCCUUUGAGCGGGGGACAACAUUUGGAAACGAAUGCUAAUACCGCAUAAAAACUUUAAACACAAGUUUUAAGUUUGAAAGAUGCAAUUGCAUCACUCAAAGAUGAUCCCGCGUUGUAUUAGCUAGUUGGUGAGGUAAAGGCUCACCAAGGCGAUGAUACAUAGCCGACCUGAGAGGGUGAUCGGCCACAUUGGGACUGAGACACGGCCCAAACUCCUACGGGAGGCAGCAGUAGGGAAUCUUCGGCAAUGGACGAAAGUCUGACCGAGCAACGCCGCGUGAGUGAAGAAGGUUUUCGGAUCGUAAAACUCUGUUGGUAGAGAAGAACGUUGGUGAGAGUGGAAAGCUCAUCAAGUGACGGUAACUACCCAGAAAGGGACGGCUAACUACGUG